AGAGUUAAAUAGUACGUGAAAUUGUUGAAAGGGAAACGUUUGACACCAGUUUUGCGGGUGGGAAAUCAGUCGCGUUGCAGUGGAGAGUGGCAAGGGUUCAGACCGCAAGGCUGGCCUUUGUCUCAUCUUUGUUGCGGGCGAUGCACUUUUUCAUUUGCAGGUCAACAUCAGUUUCUUCCGCUGGACAAAACCUCGAGAGAAUGUAGCAGCUUUGGCUGUGUUAUAGCUCUGGGGCGAUACAGUGGUGGGGACUGAGGUUUCGCAGUGUGUGCUCUCGGGCAAGGCUGACUGGGUGCUGUGGAAUGGUUCAGUGUACAAUGCUUGCAUUUUGCGCAGAGUCUGUUCUGUACUCGCUCAACUCGGUUCUUCCACGCUUAGGAUGUUGACAUAAUGGUUUUAAACGACC
This 406-nucleotide non-coding RNA is filed under the name uncultured fungus. Lineage: Eukaryota; Fungi. RNAcentral also lists the same sequence under 1 other name. The record is from RNAcentral.